Molecule: long non-coding RNA, 289 nt
Filed under: Mytilus galloprovincialis (Mediterranean mussel)
Lineage: Eukaryota; Metazoa; Mollusca; Bivalvia; Mytilida; Mytilidae
Source: RNAcentral
GUUGUGCAUAAGAACUGGUCUCUAAAAAAAUUGGUCCAGGACUAAAUAUCUUAUCCUUAUUUUCAACAAAUUUCUUUAUACAUUUGACAAGCGAUAUUAUGUGGCACUCCAUUCACUCCAUUGUAAGUAAAUAUUGAUAACUAAAUUAAUAAAUAAAUUGUUAAUUGGGGAGUAUACCACUCGAUGUUUCGUAUAUCCUCCUGACCUCUGAGCAUCAAGACUAUCUCGCACAACGCAAAUCCAGUUCAUGUACGUUGAAACAUAGAUUUACAAAUAGAUUAGAUUGUCA